RNAcentral lists this ribosomal RNA (439 nucleotides) under uncultured bacterium. RNAcentral's name for it is "partial 16S ribosomal RNA". It matches the Rfam family "Bacterial small subunit ribosomal RNA", at positions 339 to 795 of the family's 1533-position model. The record is from RNAcentral.
CUACGGGCCGCUGCAGUGAGGAAUAUUGGACAAUGGGGGAAACCCUGAUCCAGCAAUGCCGCGUGAAUGAAGAAGGCCUUCGGGUUGUAAAGUUCUUUCACUCGUGAAGAUUAUGACGGUAGCGAGAGAAGAAGCCCCGGCUAACUCUGUGCCAGCAGCCGCGGUAAGACAGAGGGGGCUAGCGUUGUUCGGAAUGACUGGGCGUAAAGGGUGCGCAGGCGGCUAUUUAAGUAAAGCGUUAAAGCCCCAGGCUUAACCUGGGAAUCGCGUUUUAAACUGGAUAGCUAGAGUGUGGUAGAGGAAAGUGGAAUUCCUAGUGUAGAGGUAAUAUUCGUAGAUAUUAGGAGGAACACCAGAGGCGAAGGCGGCUUUCUGGGCCACAACUGACGCUGAGGCACGAAAGCGUGGGGAGCAAACAGGAUUAGAUACCCCCGUAGUC